UAACGCGUAAUCAACCUACCCUAUGGACGGGGAUAACCUCGGGAAACUGAGAAUAAUACCCGAUAGAACAUUAUGCCUGGAAUGGUUUAUGUUUCAAAUAAUUUAUUGCCGUAGGAUGGGACUGCGGCCUAUCAGUUUGUUGGUGAGGUAAUGGCCCACCAAGACUAUUACAGGUACUGGGCUCUGAGAGGAGUAGCCCGGAGAUGGGUACUGAGACACGGACCCAGGCCCUAUGGGGCGCAGCAGGCUGAGAAAACUUUGCAAUGUGCGAAAGCACGACAAGGUUAAUCCGAGUGAUUUCUGCUAAAGGAAUCUUUUGUCAGUCCUAGAAACACUGUUGAAUAAGGGGUGGGCAAGUUCUGGUGUCAGCCGCCGCGGUAAAACCAGCACCUCAAGUGGUCAGGAUGAUUAUUGGGCCUAAAGCAUCCGUAGCCUGCUUUGUUAGUUUUCGGUUAAAUCCAUACGCUCAACGUAUGGGCUGCCGGAAAUACUGCAAAGCUAGGGAGUGGGAGAGGUAGACGGUCUCGGGAGGAAGGGGUAAAAUNCUUUGAUCUCUCNAUGACCC
Molecule: ribosomal RNA, 565 nt
Filed under: uncultured archaeon
Lineage: Archaea
Description: bacterial SSU rRNA
Rfam family: Archaeal small subunit ribosomal RNA
Source: RNAcentral